RNAcentral lists this long non-coding RNA (640 nucleotides) under Fukomys damarensis (Damara mole-rat). RNAcentral's name for it is "lncRNA (ENSFDAG00000028415.1)". The record is from RNAcentral. Lineage: Eukaryota; Metazoa; Chordata; Mammalia; Rodentia; Bathyergidae.
GAAUACAGCAGGUUCUCUGUGAGGAGGACCUGGGGGUCAUCACCACAUGAGUGUCCAGGCAUGGACCAAGAUUGUCGGUCCAGAUCUCGCUGCACAGGAAGCUGAUGACCUUAAGCCCAACUGCCAUACAGAAGGUGACAAGAUUCUAAAUCUGGGACCAAGGAGACCACGAAGUACUUGGUUCUUCUUAUUGAGGAAAGAAAGAUCUGCCAAGUCCAUCCCGAGGAGUCUCCAGGGAACUUCUGCAUUGCGUUUUCCAGAGUGGUGUACUUGGUCCUGGGAAUAUUGACCUGGUGCCGACAGAGCUUCAGCUGGUGAUGGUCUCCAAGUGCUCACUCGCCCCGCGUCCUUCAGACAGCUGCCUGGCCUGGCUUUGGCAUUUUCCAGGCCUAAGUGUGUACAUAAGCGUGUGAGUGUGCUGGCGUUGGGAUGAACAGGGAGGAGUACACGGCAUGAUGACAAGACAGCCGUGCCUGGUAGUGGCUCUCAAGUUGCUUCUCCCUCAGCGAGUCCCAAGCUUGGAAGAUGUUGGGUCCUAGCAGGAGGCCAUGUAGCCUGGCCAGUGCACAGCCACGGGGAGCCUCUUCUCUGAGUGUGCACUUGAGCCCGUGUCAGGGGAACAGCGCACACUUGCUCACAG